This 211-nucleotide long non-coding RNA is filed under the name Elaeis guineensis (African oil palm). RNAcentral's name for it is "long non-coding RNA (EGUI_LNC035021)". The record is from RNAcentral. Lineage: Eukaryota; Viridiplantae; Streptophyta; Magnoliopsida; Arecales; Arecaceae.
GGUUGGAGGCUGACAUGGUUAACUGUGAGAGUAGAAGAUUCAAGUUAGACAAUUAUACUCAAUUUUAAAAUUUAUUUUGGAAAUUUUAAGAAACAAAUUAAACUCUCACUAUUCUCACAGAUCUCUCACACUGCUCCAUGACUAAGGUUCCUAGUAGAUACUAUGGUUCCAUCGAUAUGCAUGCUCUUAUCGUGUCCGAUUAUUGGACCAC